GGGAAGUGGAGAGGCAGCAGAGAAACGAAACUUAGACAGACUUUGCUGGAAACAAAACUGAAGGUUAAGAAGAAACGUGUGGCAAAGAGCGACUGUGCUCAGCCCGAUCACGCCCACACACACAAUGCAGGCUGAGGGUGUUAGCUGCUUUCCUUUGGCUGUCAGAAUUGCAAUGACAGAGCGGGGGGGGGUUCAAGGUAUAAAAGGAGGUUACAAUGUUUGAUCUGUCCUUUCUAUCCUGCGGAGCCCUCCGCUUAAGGAUUUGGGACUGGUGACCCUCUGUCCGGUCACUAUUGAGUUCCCACUCUGUUUGCUUGCUGUGUAUUUACUUUGAAGAGGAGGAGAGGAGGAGGAGGAAAGGAGAUGAAAAGCCUGCUCCCAAGGGCAGGUCACUGGGUCCCUGGCCAUGUCCUAGUGGGGGGUGUUGGGAGUCUGUCCCCUAGCAGGACCUGGUCAGUCGGGCCUGGUGAGCAGAGCCAGGAGCUGCAGAUUAACUGAUCCGCAGCGACCUUGACGCACCGACGAACCCAAGCACCAGACACCCGAAGACACCUGAGACGACUAGAUGAAGCUCAUCCGAAGCACAAAGCUUAUAUUACUUACCUGAAUACUUAAACGAAAUGUACCCUAGAAUGCCGCCAGAUGAAGAACCAUUCUUUUCUUUUUUUGGUUGGCUUCUGGUUGUCUGCGUUGCUUGGUUUCGGCGGCUCAUGGGGGGCCUGCUGAAGAAAACGCAUUCCCAAAUACACUGCAAUGCUGAAUGCAUAAUUUCCAUGAAAAUGUAAAAAUGUUAAAUAAAAAUUGAAAAAAACAUUGCAACAUGAACAAACUUACCUGUGCCAUUUGUUCUGUAGUUGUCAUUUUGGAUAUUUAUACACUCUGAUAUUGAUGCCACAUUGCAGAGAACAGCUGCAAAGUUAUAACAUCGCAAAUAAUACUUAGUUAGUAGUGUAAGUAAGUAAUAUCCAAGCCACUUGACACAUCUUUAAACUCAUACAUACUGACAAUUUAAUAUCAGUCUCA
RNAcentral lists this long non-coding RNA (1023 nucleotides) under Salmo salar (Atlantic salmon). RNAcentral's name for it is "lncRNA (ENSSSAG00000087314.1)". Lineage: Eukaryota; Metazoa; Chordata; Actinopteri; Salmoniformes; Salmonidae. The record is from RNAcentral.